GUGGGGAAUCUUCCGCAAUGGACGAAAGUCUGACGGAGCAACGCCGCGUGAGUGAAGAAGGUUUUCGGAUCGUAAAGCUCUUUCGUUAGGGACGAACGUGCUCUUUGUGAAUAAUGAGGAGUAAUGACGGUACCUAAAUAAGAAGCCACGGCUAACUACGUGCCAGCAGCCGCGGUAAUACGUAGGUGGCAAGCGUUGUCCGGAAUUAUUGGGCGUAAAGCGCGCACAGGCGGGAUAUCAAGUCUGUCUUAAAAGUGCGAGGCUCAACCUCGUUAGGGGACAGAAACUGGUAUUAGUGAGUGUCGGAGAGGAAAGUGGAAUUCCAAGUGUAGCGGUGAAAUGCGUAGAGAUUUGGAAGAACACCAGUGGCGAAGGCGACUUUCUGGACGAUGUCUGACGCUGAGGCGCGAAAGCUAGGGGAGCGAACGGGAUUAGAUACCCGGGUAGUCC
This 450-nucleotide ribosomal RNA is filed under the name uncultured bacterium. RNAcentral describes it as "partial 16S ribosomal RNA". It matches the Rfam family "Bacterial small subunit ribosomal RNA", at positions 354 to 796 of the family's 1533-position model. The record is from RNAcentral.